CGGCGAGUGAAGCGGCAACAGCUCAAAUUUGAAAUCUGGCUUCGGCCCGAGUUGUAAUUUGCAGAGGAUGUUUAUGGUGCGGUACCUUCCGAGUUCCCUGGAACGGGACGCCACAGAGGGUGAGAGCCCCGUCUGGUUGGAUACCAAACCUGUGUUAAACUCCUUCAACGAGUCGAGUAGUUUGGGAAUGCUGCUCUAAAUGGGAGGUAAAUCUCUUCUAAAGCUAAAUACCGGCCAGAGACCGAUAGCGCACAAGUAGAGUGAUCGAAAGAUGAAAAGCACCUUGAAAAGGGGGUUAAACAGUACGUGAAAUUGUUGAAAGGGAAGCGUUUAUGACCAGACUUGUGUCGUGUGGCUCAUCCGAGGUUCUCCCCGGUGCACUCCACACGGCUCAGGCCAACAUCGGUUCUCGUUGGGGGAUAAGAACAGUAGGAACGUGGCCCCCUUCGGGGGGUGUUAUAGCCUAUUGUACGAUACUCUGACGGGGACCGAGGACCGCGCUUCGGCUAGGAUGUUGGCGUAAUGGUCAUUAGCGACCCGUCUUGAAACACGGACCAAGGAGUCGUCCAUUAGAGCGAGCGUUUGGGUGUAAAACCCGCACGCGUAAUGAAAGUGAAAUUAGGUGAGAGCUUCGGCGCAUCAUCGACCGAUCCUGAAGUUUACGGAUGGAUUUGAGUAAGAGUUUUAACGGACGGACCCGAAAGACAGUGAACUAUGCUUGAAUAGGGUGAAGCCAGAGGAAACUCUGGUGGAGGCUCGCAGCGGUUCUGACGUGCAAAUCGAUCGUCAAAUUUGAGCAUGGGGGCGAAAGACUAAUCGAACUGUCUAGUAGCUGGUUACCGCCGAAGU
Molecule: ribosomal RNA, 849 nt
Filed under: Cryptosporella suffusa
Lineage: Eukaryota; Fungi; Ascomycota; Sordariomycetes; Diaporthales; Gnomoniaceae
Description: LSU rRNA
Rfam family: Eukaryotic large subunit ribosomal RNA
Source: RNAcentral